Molecule: ribosomal RNA, 526 nt
Filed under: uncultured bacterium
Lineage: Bacteria
Description: bacterial SSU rRNA
Rfam family: Bacterial small subunit ribosomal RNA
Source: RNAcentral
AGUAAGAGUUUGAUCCUGGCUCAGAACUAACGCUGGCGGCGUGCCUAACACAUGCAAGUCGAACGAGAAGCCCGCAAGGGUUGUAAAGUGGCGGACGGGUGCAUAACACGUGGGUAAUCUACCCUUUGGUCUGAAGAUAACCUGGCCGAAAGGCGGGCUAAUACCGGAUAAGACCACGGCUCUGAGGAGCUGUGGGAAAAGGCCCGCAAGGGUCGCCGAUCGAUGAGCCCGCGGCCUAUCAGGUAGUUGGUGAGGUAAUGGCUCACCAAGCCUACGACGGGUAGCUGGUCUGAGAGGACGACCAGCCACACUGGAACUGAGACACGGUCCAGACUCCUACGGGAGGCAGCAGUGGGGAAUAUUGCGCAAUGGGCGAAAGCCUGACGCAGCAACGCCGCGUGGGUGAUGAAGGCCUUCGGGUUGUAAAGCCCUGUCGCCCGGGACGAAUAAGCUCGUGAAGAACGAGCCCUGACGGUACCGGGAGAGGAAGCACCGGCUAACUCUGUGCCAGCAGCCGCGGUAAUAC